AGCAGAUGCUGAUCAUGAUUAUGACUACAUGACUGAAGUAAAAAAGAGGCACAAAGAUGAUCCAGAGUCAUAUUCGGAGGUCACAUAUACAGAGGUCUCAUGGUCAUAUGUGGAUAAAGAUGAUUCCAUGGCAGAGUCAAAUGAUGGGACAUACUCAGAAGUCAUAACAAAAAUAGAAAUGCAAAUACAAAGGUCUCUGAGUGCAGUGAAGACAACAGACGGCUAAAAGAGAUUCACAGCAGCAGACACAGUGACACUUGCAUUGCUUCAGAAAUGAAUCUGAGUGAACUGCUUACACACGUGCUUGAUUCAGCUACUUUAGAGAUACAUAUACACUGUAUUAUCUGUACGCAUGAGAGCAAACAAAUCUAUCUAUAAUAUAUAGUAAAACACUUUUACCAGUGAGCACUGUUGUUUAACACAAUUAAUAACUUAAAGUUAUCACAGCAAUUAAAUUGUUCAAAAUAAAGAAAAAAUAGUAUAAAAUGAUAAAGUGUAACUAGCACUUUGUUGAUAGUUACAAAUUAAUGCUUGUGUUUUGCCAUUA
This is a long non-coding RNA of Carassius auratus (goldfish), 547 nucleotides long. RefSeq lists it as uncharacterized. The transcript has 4 exons. The record is from RefSeq and is a predicted model, not a curated record. NCBI's taxonomy places the organism in Eukaryota, Metazoa, Chordata, Actinopteri, Cypriniformes, Cyprinidae.